Molecule: ribosomal RNA, 1053 nt
Filed under: Salmonella enterica subsp. enterica serovar Typhimurium
Lineage: Bacteria; Pseudomonadati; Pseudomonadota; Gammaproteobacteria; Enterobacterales; Enterobacteriaceae
Description: bacterial LSU rRNA
Rfam family: Bacterial large subunit ribosomal RNA
Source: RNAcentral
ACGGGAGACACACGGCGGGUGCUAACGUCCGUCGUGAAGAGGGAAACAACCCAGACCGCCAGCUAAGGUCCCAAAGUCAUGGUUAAGUGGGAAACGAUGUGGGAAGGCCCAGACAGCCAGGAUGUUGGCUUAGAAGCAGCCAUCAUUUAAAGAAAGCGUAAUAGCUCACUGGUCGAGUCGGCCUGCGCGGAAGAUGUAACGGGGCUAAACCAUGCACCGAAGCUGCGGCAGCGACGCUGAUGCGUUGUUGGGUAGGGGAGCGUUCUGUAAGCCUGCGAAGGUGACCUGUGAGGGUUGCUGGAGGUAUCAGAAGUGCGAAUGCUGACAUAAGUAACGAUAAAGCGGGUGAAAAGCCCGCUCGCCGGAAGACCAAGGGUUCCUGUCCAACGUUAAUCGGGGCAGGGUGAGUCGACCCCUAAGGCGAGGCCGAAAGGCGUAGUCGAUGGGAAACGGGUUAAUAUUCCCGUACUUGGUGUUACUGCGAAGGGGGGACGGAGAAGGCUAUGUUGGCCGGGCGACGGUUGUCCCGGUUUAAGCGUGUAGGUGUGUGUUCCAGGUAAAUCCGGUUCACUUUAACACUGAGGCGUGACGACGAGGCACUACGGUGCUGAAGCAACAAAUGCCCUGCUUCCAGGAAAAGCCUCUAAGCAUCAGGUAACACGAAAUCGUACCCCAAACCGACACAGGUGGUCAGGUAGAGAAUACCAAGGCGCUUGAGAGAACUCGGGUGAAGGAACUAGGCAAAAUGGUGCCGUAACUUCGGGAGAAGGCACGCUGACACGUAGGUGAAGUGAUUUACUCAUGGAGCUGAAGUCAGUCGAAGAUACCAGCUGGCUGCAACUGUUUAUUAAAAACACAGCACUGUGCAAACACGAAAGUGGACGUAUACGGUGUGACGCCUGCCCGGUGCCGGAAGGUUAAUUGAUGGGGUCAGCGCAAGCGAAGCUCCUGAUCGAAGCCCCGGUAAACGGCGGCCGUAACUAUAACGGUCCUAAGGUAGCGAAAUUCCUUGUCGGGUAAGUUCCGACCUGCACGAAUGGCGUAAUGAUGGCC